AGUGAACGCUGGCGGUAGGCCUAACACAUGCAAGUCGAACGGCCACACAGUAAGCUCUUUCCCUUACCGGUGGCGACUGACGGGUGAGUGAGGCGUACAUCGCCUACUUCUUUUUCGUGGGGGAUAUCGUAGGGCCACUUCCGAUAAUACCUCACACGACCUACGGCUUGAUUCUAGGGAUGUUCGUGCCUUUCCCGUUUGUUUUAGCCGACGUCGGAUUAGCUAGUUGGCGAGGUAAAGGCCCACCAAGGCGACGAUACGUAGCUGGUCUGAGAGGAUGAUCAGCCACACUGGAACUGAGACACGGUCCAGACUCCUACGGGAGGCAGCAGUGGGGAAUAUUCGACAAUGGGCGAAAGCCUGAUGCAGCCAUACCGCGUGAGUGAAGAAGGCCUUCGGGUUGUAAAGCCCUUUUGUUAGGGAAGAAAAGCAGCAGGUGAAUACCCCGCUGUUCUGACGGUACCCAAAGAAUAAGCACCGGCUAACUUCGUG
RNAcentral lists this ribosomal RNA (492 nucleotides) under uncultured bacterium. RNAcentral describes it as "partial 16S ribosomal RNA". It matches the Rfam family "Bacterial small subunit ribosomal RNA", at positions 29 to 507 of the family's 1533-position model. The record is from RNAcentral.